AUGACGAUUGCUUUCACGUCUAUCGUGGCCAUUUUCAUCAUUGAAAGGGUUGAUGAUAGGGCAGGAACAAAGUCCCUUGCACCCCUUGUUAUUGCUGGUGCACUGAGCAUCCUGUACUGGAGUUUCUUUGAUGACCUUCGGCCAUCUGAGGUUAUCCUGUUUGUUCCAUGUAUUGUAAUACCUGUGAUGGCUAUAGUUAUUCCACCAAUGUAUACACAUUCAAGCUACUGGUUGUGGGCAGCAUGUUAG
RNAcentral lists this ribosomal RNA (249 nucleotides) under Triticum aestivum (bread wheat). RNAcentral's name for it is "partial small subunit ribosomal RNA". Lineage: Eukaryota; Viridiplantae; Streptophyta; Magnoliopsida; Poales; Poaceae. The record is from RNAcentral.